This 278-nucleotide ribosomal RNA is filed under the name uncultured prokaryote. RNAcentral's name for it is "partial 16S ribosomal RNA". It matches the Rfam family "Bacterial small subunit ribosomal RNA", at positions 524 to 801 of the family's 1533-position model. The record is from RNAcentral.
UACGGAGGAUCCGAGCGUUAUCCGGAUUUAUUGGGUUUAAAGGGUGCGCAGGCGGAAUAUUAAGUCGGCGGUGAAAGUUUGCAGCUUAACUGUAAAAUUGCCGUUGAAACUGGUUUUCUUGAGUGUAUAUGAAGUAGGCGGAAUUUGUAGUGUAGCGGUGAAGUGCAUAGAUAUUACAAGGAACUCCGAUUGCGAAGGCAGCUUACUAAAAUACAACUGACGCUCAGGCACGAAGGCGUGGGUAUCAAACAGGAUUAGAUACCCGGGUAGUCCCUGAG